CCUACGGAGGACAGCAGUCGAGAAUCAUUCACAAUGGGGGAAACCCUGAUGGUGCGACGCCGCGUGGGGGAAUGAAGGUCUUCGGAUUGUAAACCCCUGUCAUGUGGGAGCAAAUUAAAAAGAUAGUACCACAAGAGGAAGAGACGUCUAACUCCGGGCCAGCAGCCGCGGUAAUACAGAGGUCUCAAGCGUUGUUCGGAAUCACUGGGCGUAAAGCGUGCGUAGGCUGUUUCGUAAGUCGUGUGUGAAAGGCGCGGGCUCAACCCGCGGACGGCACAUGAUACUGCGAGACUAGAGUACAGGAGGGGGAACCGGAAUUCUCGGUGUAGCAGUGAAAUGCGUAGAUAUCGGGAGGAACACUAGUGGCGAAGGCGGGUUACUGGACAGUAACUGACGCUGAGGCACGAAGGCGAGGGGAGCGAAAGGGAUUAGAUACCCUAGUAGUC
Molecule: ribosomal RNA, 446 nt
Filed under: uncultured bacterium
Lineage: Bacteria
Description: partial 16S ribosomal RNA
Rfam family: Bacterial small subunit ribosomal RNA
Source: RNAcentral